UUCAACUUUGAUGUUUGAAGUGAGAGCUAAUUCAACUUUUUUGGCCAUGUGAUUUGAGGCUACAUUAUAGGUCACUUUUGACCUAUACCACUGAUCAAGUGAUUUUUCCAAACUUCAAAAAUGCAUAACUCUAUCAUGCAACUUCAUCAUAAGCAUUAGCAUUGGGAUCAUACCUUGGCACCUUCCUUACCCCUCUUUCAUUGGGUUUGUUUUGGGAGAGAUCAC
Molecule: long non-coding RNA, 225 nt
Filed under: Lathyrus oleraceus (garden pea)
Lineage: Eukaryota; Viridiplantae; Streptophyta; Magnoliopsida; Fabales; Fabaceae
Description: Pisum sativum (pea) long non-coding RNA (PSAT_LNC012538)
Source: RNAcentral